GAUCAUGGCUCAGGAUGAACGCUAGCUACAGGCUUAACACAUGCAAGUCGAGGGGCAGCAUGGUCUUAGCUUGUCUAAGGCCGAUGGCGACCGGCGCACGGGUGAGUAACACGUAUCCAACCUGCCGUCGUACUCUUGGACAGCCUUCUGAAAGGAAGAUUAAUACAAGAUGGCAUCAUGAGUCCGCAUGUUCACAUGAUUAAAGGUAUUCCGGUAGACGAUGGGGA
This 227-nucleotide ribosomal RNA is filed under the name uncultured bacterium. RNAcentral describes it as "partial 16S ribosomal RNA". It matches the Rfam family "Bacterial small subunit ribosomal RNA", at positions 15 to 231 of the family's 1533-position model. The record is from RNAcentral.